Non-coding RNA from Arachis ipaensis, 237 nucleotides. The record is from RefSeq and is a predicted model, not a curated record. Lineage: Eukaryota; Viridiplantae; Streptophyta; Magnoliopsida; Fabales; Fabaceae.
AGUAUUUUAUUUUAUUUUUCGUUUUAUUUUUUCUUCUCCUGAUAAUUCAAUACUAUAGUCUCAACUCACUACAUCAAGUGAGGAUCAAAUUUGGAAAUAAAGACAAGCAACUGAAAAAAUCUUCUAUAAUAGUUUGCUUUAUUCUUAGAAUCGCAUGUCUAAUGACCCAAAAAAAAAAGAGAGGAUCUGUUUUUUGUUUAGCGGUGAAGAUAAUUUAUAGUUAGCUUGAGAAAAAGA